RNAcentral lists this long non-coding RNA (645 nucleotides) under Cyanistes caeruleus (blue tit). RNAcentral describes it as "lncRNA (ENSCCEG00000009406.1)". The record is from RNAcentral. Lineage: Eukaryota; Metazoa; Chordata; Aves; Passeriformes; Paridae.
CUUCUCUUUUUCAGCCUUCCAAGAGUUAAAGCAAUGUGCUUUCAAGUGUCCCUAGCUGCAGGCUCACCCUCUCCCACUCCUGGUCCCUGUCCUAUAUUCUGGAGCCAUCACUGGUGAUGAAAACUCGAAGACUCGAAAGGGAAAAAGGAAGGGCGAUAUUAUUCACAUUUGGAAAAUGUCUGAAGCUUUCAUCUCAGUAAGGUGAACGAGCCUGAUGGGAACACUUUGCACCUGCUGGGAAGGGCUCUUAGGUUUCCAUGGUGUGACCCUUUGGCAGCAGGUCUCCAGCAAUUGUCUCAUUCAGAAGUCCUGGUGACUGCCAGCUGGAAAUGCUCUCUCACAGUCCCUUGCACAAUGGCCUGGGGAGUCACCCAGGUUCUCUUUUUAGGAGGUCUGACUGGUGAAAGCUACUCCUGUGCUUACAGAAGGAGGGCCCAUGCUUAGGCAUCUCCCAGGAAAACCAUGCAGUGAAAUGAGGAUGUAAAGAGACUCUGGUUCUUGGAAAAUUGUAACAUGGAAAUAACCAUUUUUUGAGGGGUUCCACUGAAGCAGCGAAACCACAUACAACUAUUCCAAUAACCACUAAGGAGAUAACUGCUUUGGGAAUAACAGAAAAAAAAAAAUAAACAGGGAAAGAGGGAAGCA